GAGAACACACAGAGAGUUUUAGAUAGAGUUCAGAGAGUUCUUGGGAGUUUUUACCAGUAUUAGAGAGCAUUCUUGGUACUUUGGGGUAUUCUAAUCAAUUAUUUUUUCAGUCAUGAGAGUCUUGAAUCAGUCUGAGAGAGCAAUUUCUGAGAGUUUUUAGGGUGGUCUUUUGGAAUCAGUUUUUGGAGAAAGAGAGAGCUAAGGCAUUGAUGUUCUUUGAGAGCUUGAAAAAAACAGAGACUUGGAGAGCAUAAGAAUGAUAAAGUGAUUCUUAAAACUAAGGACCUACUGCUCCAUUAAAACUUGGAGUGAAAUUCUUGAAUUUUAGCUACUGAGUUAUAUUUUCCAGUUCAGUUUUGUUUACUGAAGUGUUUGAGGUUCACUGGUUGAUUUCCUGUUGAUUUUGGAGUUCAAUUAGUUACUUGGGAUUAUUUGUUGUUGCUGUUUGGUUUCACAACUGGUUCUGGGCUGUAAUAAAGAGACUGUAUUACUAUUACUCUUUCCAUCUUGUACCAUCAGUUGAAUGUCUAGUUUAGUUUUGUAAUUAUGAAAAUAGGUUCCAAAAUGGAUGUAAGUUUCAAUAGUUAAAACCAGUUAAUUUCGUAGUUGUAAAAAGUAGGUUCAUCACUGGAGUAUUGAGUGUUAGUUUGGUAAGG
Molecule: long non-coding RNA, 656 nt
Filed under: Nicotiana benthamiana
Lineage: Eukaryota; Viridiplantae; Streptophyta; Magnoliopsida; Solanales; Solanaceae
Description: long non-coding RNA (NBEN_LNC023782)
Source: RNAcentral